GAACACUUUGUACGAUUUUCGUGCCCAUCCCCUUGUAAAAUCCAUGAAAGCCUUCAUAGCGUAUAAUCUUCAUCAGAGCAUCAAGUGUACCUUUAUAUUGAUGUCUUUUAUCUGCACCCACGUCCUGCUUUGCCUGGAGUCUUGACUUGAUAACCAGAAGAGGAUAUGUUACUACUGUAGCUCCAAGUUUUGCCACAGCUCCAAGUAGAAAUAUUUCCAAAGCAGUGACAUCAUUGGCACCUUUGUUGCUAGAGGCACGUCGUUUUCU
Molecule: unclassified non-coding RNA, 268 nt
Filed under: Hevea brasiliensis (rubber tree)
Lineage: Eukaryota; Viridiplantae; Streptophyta; Magnoliopsida; Malpighiales; Euphorbiaceae
Source: RNAcentral